RNAcentral lists this ribosomal RNA (458 nucleotides) under uncultured bacterium. RNAcentral describes it as "partial 16S ribosomal RNA". It matches the Rfam family "Bacterial small subunit ribosomal RNA", at positions 338 to 795 of the family's 1533-position model. The record is from RNAcentral.
CCUACGCGGGGCAGCAGUGAGGAAUAUUGGUCAAUGGGCGCGAGCCUGAACCAGCCAAGUAGCAUGAAGGAUGACUGCCCUACGGGUUAUAAACCUCUUUUGUCGGGGAGCAAAAGCCGGACGUGUCCGGCUGUGAGAGUACCCGAAGAAAAAGCAUCGGCUAACUCCGUGCCAGCAGCCGCGGUAAUACGUAGGAUGCGAGCGUUAUCCGGAUUUAUUGGGUUUAAAGGGUGCGCAGGCGGAUUUUUAAGUCAGCGGUAAAAUCGUGGGGCUCAACCCCAUCCAGCCGUUGAAACUGGGGAUCUAGAGUGUGCGAGAGGUAUGCGGAAUGCGUGGUGUAGCGGUGAAAUGCAUAGAGAUCACGCAGAACCGCGAUUGCGAAGGCAGCAUACCGGUGCACAACUGACGCUCAGGCACGAAAGCGUGGGUAUCGAACAGGAUUAGAUACCCCAGUAGUC